This 73-nucleotide transfer RNA is filed under the name Ictidomys tridecemlineatus (thirteen-lined ground squirrel). Its description in RNAcentral is "Spermophilus tridecemlineatus (thirteen-lined ground squirrel) tRNA". It matches the Rfam family "tRNA". Rfam says of the family: Transfer RNA (tRNA) molecules are approximately 80 nucleotides in length. Lineage: Eukaryota; Metazoa; Chordata; Mammalia; Rodentia; Sciuridae. The record is from Rfam by way of RNAcentral.
GGGGAUGUGGCUCAGUGGUAAAGUGCUUGCCUAGCAUGCAUGAGGCCCCUAGGUUUGAUCCCCAGCACUACCA